UUUCCGUAGGUGAACCUGCGGAAGGAUCAUUAAUGAGUUGUCAUGGGGUUCGAUGCUGGCAGCCAAUUUUUGGAUGCAUGUGCUUGCCCUAACAAUCAUCUUCCAAACACCUGUGCACAUUUUUGAGGGAGUCUUGAGUUGGUUGCCGCUCUUGGGUGAUUUUCUCACAUUCCCUUAAAUCAUUAUACGCUAUUAACAAUGUUGAACGUGCUCUGUGCCGCAAGGCUAUUAAUAUAAUACAACUUUUAACAACGGAUCUCUUGGCUCUCGCAUCGAUGAGGAACGCAGC
RNAcentral lists this unclassified non-coding RNA (289 nucleotides) under plant metagenome. Its description in RNAcentral is "partial contains small subunit ribosomal RNA, internal transcribed spacer 1, and 5.8S ribosomal RNA". The stretch from base 241 to 289 matches the Rfam family "5.8S ribosomal RNA", at positions 1 to 49 of the family's 154-position model. The record is from RNAcentral.